This is an RNA transcript of Salvia splendens (bonfire salvia), 1836 nucleotides long. It is a transcript of the gene named actin-related protein 2-like, with no coding region annotated. Lineage: Eukaryota; Viridiplantae; Streptophyta; Magnoliopsida; Lamiales; Lamiaceae. The transcript has 12 exons. The record is from RefSeq and is a predicted model, not a curated record.
AAUACAUUUUUGAAUUGUGUGAUUAAAUGAAUCAUCAGUAGAGGUUGCUCGGUUUCAAAGAAACAAACGUCGGUUAAAUCAGCUGAUAUUUUUUUAUCUUGUGCUGGUGUUCAUAGCCGGAGCGUCGUCGUUUGUGACAACGGCACCGGUUAUGUGAAGUGUGGAUUUGCGGGAGAGAACUUCCCAACGUCUGUGUUUCCUUGUGUUGUUGGAAGGCCAAUGCUUCGUUAUGAAGAAUCUUUAAUGGAACAAGAGAUCACGGACACUCUUGUGGGUGAUGCUUGUUUAAAGUGGAGACACCAAUUGGACAUAUCUUAUCCUGUAAACAACGGAAUCGUUCAAAAUUGGGAUGAUAUGGGACAUGUGUGGGAUCAUGUAUUUUCUAGCGAACUAAAGGUAGAUCCCACGGAAUGUAAAAUCUUGCUUACCGAUUCGCCUCUGAAUCCAUCUAAAAACCGUGAAAAGAUGGUUGAGAUUAUGUUUGAGAAAUACAAAUUUCAAGGUGUUUUCAUCCAAAUACAAGCUGUUUUAACAUUGUAUGCUCAAGGUUUGCUUACGGGACUUGUAAUUGACUCCGGCGAUGGAGUUACUCAUGUGGUUCCAGUUGUUGAUGGAUACUCAUUUCCCCAUCUUACAAAACGAAUGAACGUAGCCGGGCGCCACAUAACUUCAUAUCUUCUUGAUUUGCUCAUGAGGAGGGGGUAUGCUAUGAAUAGAAAUGCUGACUUUGAGACAGUAAGGAAUAUCAAAGAGAAGCUUUGUUAUAUAAGUUAUGAUUACAAAAGGGAGUAUCAGUUGGGACUUGAUACUACCAUCCUUGUAAAAAUUAUACUAUGGAAGGGUCAUUAAAGUUGGGAAUGAGCGGUUUCAAGCACCAGAGGCUCUUUUCUCUCCCGAGCUAAUAGAUGUCGAAGGAGAUGGAAUGGCUGACAUGGUAUUUCGUUGCAUCCAGGAAAUGGAUAUUGACAAUAGGAUGAUAGUACUCAUAUUUUUUUAAACUGCAAAGCACCUAUGUGAUACAUUCUGCAGUUUAUGAUGCACUAGAAUCCUUUUCCUUUUGCAGCUUUACCAGCACAUUGUCCUCAGCGGUGGAAGCACAAUGUAUACUGGAUUACCUAGUCGCUCGGAGAAAGAAUUAUCGUAGCGUUAUCUGGAUUCUGUGUUAAAGGUAAAUAAGGACGGAUUGAAGGUAAAUUAAUGCUAAUUCUGCUUCUAAGCUGGUAUCAUUUUCAGUCGAAUAAGGACUGUUUGAAGUUAUUUAGUAGCAAUGCUUAAAAUUUAACAUUUCUAGUAAAAUACAUAGCAAUCAUAUGGUAAAAUUUAUCUCUCUCUCUCUCUCUCCUUGACCCAUUUAUAACCUUUGGUCUUUAAUAUCAAUUAGAACAACCUCAUCAGGUCCCGAUGUGCAGCAUAAUUAGUGAGGUUGUUGUUUGCAAAUAAGACCUGACUCGAUCUUUUGAGAAUUCCCAGGCUCAGUCUCAUAUACUCAUAUUAUUAAUAUGUUGAUAUUUGCAUUAGUAAGAUGCUACUUUGUUUUUACCACACUAAUGUCCAAGAUCUGUGGUGUUUACCAAUGCUUGUUAUUACAGUAUCUUAUAAGUAAGCAAUAGUUUGACAUCCUCAAGUACAUGUCACAAGACUUUCACCACGGCCAAGUAGAGCCAGCAUAUUAUAGUUGCUUUUGCUCCUUAUUGUCUAAAAUAUGAAUUAAAUGAUAUUAGUAUAUUUAUUGUUGGGCAUUGAAACUAAGGUGGUAUCAUAUACUAUGUGAGUAUCUAUGACUGUGUUUAGCUAUAUAGAAAAUUUUAUUAAUAAAAAGAAGGUUGUGCUUGUUUA